GUGCGGGAUGACAGGCUGAGCCACCGAGCCCGGCAGCACAUAUACUAAAAUUGAAACGAUACAGAGAAGAUUAGCAUGGCCCCUGCGCUUGAUUUUUUUUUUAAGCAUCUCUUUUUU
RNAcentral lists this small nuclear RNA (117 nucleotides) under Carlito syrichta (Philippine tarsier). Lineage: Eukaryota; Metazoa; Chordata; Mammalia; Primates; Tarsiidae. The record is from RNAcentral.